RNAcentral lists this long non-coding RNA (1162 nucleotides) under Capra hircus (goat). RNAcentral describes it as "lncRNA (ENSCHIG00010027772.1)". The record is from RNAcentral. Lineage: Eukaryota; Metazoa; Chordata; Mammalia; Artiodactyla; Bovidae.
GAUUAAUAAUUUAAAAAAUAAAAAAGUGCUCAUAAUAAAAUUUUGAUUUCUAAUAUGCUAAGUAUAGACAAUUUAUAAAAACAAAAGCUCUUUAGAGGUUUCAAUAAUUAAGAGUAUAAAGAGGUCUUGAAACUAGUUAUCUUUGAGAACUGCUGCUUCAAAGCUGCUUCUCACAGCUGGCAUCUUACAUUCAGAUGCCUUCUACACCCCACCGCAAGCACUGAACAGGGUACUACUCACCACUGAAUUCCAAGAACUGAGCAAAUGCCUGAAGAAUAGGCACAAGUAAGACUGAAAAUUGCAACCUAGAGUCUGUAGGUAAAAUUCAUGUCAAAAUCGUUAAUAUUUUUUCAUCUUGAAAUCCAAAUUUUCCUGUGGUAAAUUAUCAACAUUAUUUGUUUUUGCUAUCCUAAAGUGAUGACGGUGUUGAGGAUGAUUUCCUGUGUGACAUGCUUUUCCAGCACAAAAUAAAAAUAAUUCCUUUCAGAUAAUUUUACUACAAAUGGCAUGAUGCUUUUGUAACAAAAGUGUUGAAUAUAAACAGGAGAACAUUUUUUAAAGUAAGCUGAAACACCUUAGCCAAGAAAUUGCACUUCUAUUUACAUAAUUUUUGUUUCAACUCACACAUUCAUGUACUCUCUUGCUCUACACAUUAUUGAAAUUCUUUAUGAAACAAAUCAAAACAUCAGGGUGUUUGGCACCUUCAUAAUAGCAGUAACCAAUUUUACUCAUGAUUUGCUUUGGGAAACAAACUACUUGUUAACUGGUGAAGUUACAUAUAGCUGUUUUCAGUAUUUUUAACAGUGACUGGGCAUAAAUCAAGUUUUGUGCAUUCUAGCACCUUGCUGAUGAAGAACCAGGUCUUAUUAAAGCAAAUAGUUCAAUGUAUGAACACAUCAGUUGCAUUAUAUUCAUCUCCUCAGAUCCCUCGAAAACUUUAGUAACUUGCCACUUACUAAUGACCACAAAGUGCAAUAAACAUAAUCAACACUUGACUUUUAUGUUACCACACAUACAAAAACAUGUUAAUAUUCAAGAAGCUUGUCACUCCAUUUUCUUCUCUGUUUGUAUUUUUCCUUAAUUUUUAAGCAUUUACAUGGCCUUAGAUGUUUUAUUCAAAAGCAGAGACAUUACUUUGCCAACAAAGGUCCAUCUAGUCGAG